GCCGAUGACUCGGGGAUAGCCUUUCGAAAGAAAGAUUAAUACCCGAUGGCAUAGUUCUUCCGCAUGGUGGAACUAUUAAAGAAUUUCGGUCAUCGAUGGGGAUGCGUUCCAUUAGGUUGUUGGCGGGGUAACGGCCCACCAAGCCUUCGAUGGAUAGGGGUUCUGAGAGGAAGGUCCCCCACAUUGGAACUGAGACACGGUCCAAACUCCUACGGGAGGCAGCAUG
RNAcentral lists this ribosomal RNA (226 nucleotides) under uncultured bacterium. Its description in RNAcentral is "partial 16S ribosomal RNA". It matches the Rfam family "Bacterial small subunit ribosomal RNA", at positions 128 to 353 of the family's 1533-position model. The record is from RNAcentral.